Molecule: long non-coding RNA, 3584 nt
Filed under: Sinocyclocheilus grahami
Lineage: Eukaryota; Metazoa; Chordata; Actinopteri; Cypriniformes; Cyprinidae
Description: lncRNA (ENSSGRG00000038533.1)
Source: RNAcentral
AUGGGGUUCAGGUCUGGUGAGUUUUCUGGCCAGUCAAGCACACCAACACCAUGGUCAUUUAACCAACUUUUGGUGCUUUUGGCAGUGUGGGCAGGUGUGUGUGGAUGUUGUGGUCCUCUGCGGCCACGCUACAAGCGUCUAGUGGACAACAUUUUCCCAGAGGACCCCAAGGAUGGACUGGUGAAAUCCGAUAUGGAAAAGUUGACUUUUUAUGCAGUGUCCGCACCAGAGAAGCUGGACCGUAUCGGAGCGUACCUGGCCGAACGCCUCAGCAGAGAUGUGGUACGACAUCGCUACGGGUACGUGGUAAUAGCAAUGGAGGCGUUGGAUCAGUUGUUGAUGGCAUGUCAUUCCCAGAGUAUCAAGCCGUUUGUGGAGAGCUUCUUACACAUGGUAGCCAAACUGCUGGAAUCCAGAGAACCCGAUUUACAAGUGCUGGGAACCAACUCCUUUGUGAAGUUUGCAAACAUUGAGGAGGAUACGCCAUCUUACCAUCGCAGAUAUGACUUUUUCGUCUCUCAGUUCAGUGCCAUGUGUCACUCCACACACGAGGACCCCGAAACUCGCAACAGGAUCCGUGUAGCAGGCAUUAAGGGUCUCCAGGGUGUCGUCAGAAAGACUGUGAAUGAUGAACUCCAGGCAAUCAUCUGGGAACCUCAACACAUGGAUAAACUCAUCCCCUCCAUGCUGUUCAACAUGCAAGAUAAUGAGGACUCCGAGAGGUACAUAAUUUUUUAUUUAGAAAAGGGUCAAUUCAGCAUAUUUAAAUAUGGCAGUUUUCAAAAUGUAAUAACAUACAACCAUCGUCUGUGGGACCCGAAUGAUUUUGCUGUUUCCUGUUUCAGGAUAAUCAUGUACUCAAUACAGGCCCAGCAUUCUCACCAUGUGAUCCAGCAAGUGUUGUCUCACCUUGACACCCACAGUAAGAACACCCCGCGUGUGAGGGCAGGUAUCGUUCAGGUGCUGCUGGAGACGGUUGCCAUAGCAGCCAAGGGCUCCAUCGGUCCCACGGUCCUGGAGGUGUUUAACACCCUGCUAAAGCAUCUGCGUAUGAGUGUGGAUUUUGAGCUGGGCGACGGUUCCCGCAGGAACUCCGCGAGCAGCCUUUCCUCCACCCGCACCAAAGAGAGCGAGGAGCGGAUCGUCCAGAAUGCUAUCAUCCAAACCAUUGGUUUCUUUGGAGGAAAUCUUCCUGAUUAUCAGAGAGCUGAAGUGAUGAUGUUCGUUAUGGGGAAAGUUCCUGUUUACGGCACGCCGUGUCACACGCUGGACACCGUCAAGAUUGGUCUAAUUCCUAGUCAUAAUAGGAUGGUUACGUCAGGGUUUAAGUGUAAAACGAUUUGUGCUGGCCUGCCCAUGGCGUUUCUGGAGCCAUUAUGCUCUAUCUCUUUGAUGGAAGACAGUGAACUACGGCAGCUCGUCUUGGAGAUUUUGCACAACAUCAUUGAUCGCCAUGACAACAGAGCCAAACUCAGAGGGAUCCGGAUUAUUCCUAAUGUAGCCGCUCUGAAGAUCAAGAGAGAGAAAAUCUCCAAACAGGAUGUGGUUUUCAUGAAAAAGCAUGGGCAGCAGCUAUACAGACACAUCUAUCUGGGCUGUAAGGAGGAAGAUAAUGUGCAGAAGAACUUUGAGCUGCUUUUCACAGCUUUGGCAUUGAUCACUAUUGAACUUGCCAAUGAGGAGGUGGUGAUUGAUCUCAUACGCCUGUCCAUCGCCCUGCAGGAUAUGGCCCUGGCCAAUGAGGAGAACAUGCCAAUGUUUAUUCGCUGUGGAAUCAUGGCAUUGAUUGCCGCAUACCUCAACUUCCUCAGUCAGAUGAUUGCAAAUCCCCCUUUCUGCCAACACGUCAGCAAGGUGAUUGAGAUGAGAAAUCUAGAUGCUCCGCACCUUUUGCCUGAACACGUCUUCAGAGAGAAGUACCGGGACGACGUUGGUUUGUAUUUUCAGACGGCUGAUCUGGCAGAAGCUCUGUCUGUACCUGGAUAUAACGUAGAGAGACUAGCUGUUCCGUACAUACCGCAGGUUACAGAUGAAGAUCGACUGCCCCGUAGGAAGAGUUUUGUCGACACUAUUUCUCUCCAAGUUGACAUCCUUUCCAACAGCUUGCCUGAUCAGUCUCAGCUUGCAGAGGAGAUCACGUUUGAGACCCUGAAGAAGGCCAUCGAUACCACAGGUCUGGAGGAACAGGAGAGGGAGAGGAGACGGCAGGUGAUGGAGAAGUUCCAGAAGGCUCCGUUUGAAGAGAUUGCCGCCCACUGCGAGUCCAAGGCCAACAUGCUGCACGAUCGCUUGGCUCAGAUAUUUGAACUCACCAUUCGCCCUCCCCCGAGCCCAUCGGGCACCGUGACGGUGACGUCAGGCCACGCCCAAUACCAGUCUGUGCCAGUCUACGAAAUGAAGUUCCCUGACCUCUGCGUGUACUGAACCACGGCCUUUCACCUUAACUCUAUCACACAGACUCAACCUUGACAUGUGACCACUGACCUUUAUCACACUUUAUGUGUGUAAACUCACCUGAGCCACUCAUCUUCAUUAGACAUCUUUCACUAUGAACGUCACUUACAUUCAUGUCCAGCAGAAAGAAGGGGUGCAGACUGGACGGCCACUUCAUGCCUCUAUUCUACACCAGUCAGCACACAGAGCUUUACGACCAGCUGUCCAGUCAUACACCAGCUCUGUAGAAUCAUGUGAAUCGUAUGUGUGUGGUUUUCACUUUGAUUCUUGCACUAAACGGCAGCUCCAAGAAUCAAACUGAGUCUUUUAAACACUUGAUUCUUCAGCUUCUUAAUCUAUUGAUUCAAAGGAGUCAUUUAGAAAAUGACUCACUCUGGAUUUAUUAAGGGAACUUAAUUGCUAGCAUUAGCUUAAGUGCUAGUUUAUGUUCAUUAACUCUCAUUUCUAAACCAUCAUCAGCAGAGAGAUUUGAACAUACGAUAGAUUUCUGCUCGCUUAAAUCUCUCCUAUAUAAAUAAUUAUAGUGUACAGUAUCGCACAGUAUAGUAUAGGCUAUUUUUGACAAAUAUAUAUAUAUAUACUUUUAGAUGAAAUGAUUGCUGAUAGUUGCAGAGUGUUAUUUGUAUUCUGUUUGCAUGGCUUAGCCAAUGUUUCAUUGCAAACGUUUGUGAGUUUAGGCCUUUAUUAAUCUACAAUUAGCCUUUAACUUCAAUGUUGUGGAUGUCAACGGGGCUUUUGUUCACCCAGAGUUCUUAGUGAUCACUAUGCUCUCCAUUUUGCCUUCACUGUAUAGAGAAACCAAAUCAUUUGCUUUUCAUCACCAAAGAGCUACGCACUUCCUUUAUGGCCACACACGGCUGCCAAUCAAAUCUUGAGCCAAUCAGAAACUGAAUUCUCUUUGAGGGCGGGAACACCACAGUGUUCUUGAACUCAAACCUCAGAACAGUUUCUAGAAACCCGGGGGCCGAAAAAUGAUGGAUUAUCAGUGAUAAAAUGAUCUGCAUUCAUCAACCAGCUGUUUUUUUUAUCGAGCCACAAGGACGUUGAAAUGCUUUUCUGCUUUUCAGGUGACUUCAUUCAUCUACCUUGGACAAAAUAAAAAUGUGUGUGACUGUUAGAUGCUGAAAUAC